Molecule: transfer RNA, 74 nt
Filed under: Patiria miniata (bat star)
Lineage: Eukaryota; Metazoa; Echinodermata; Asteroidea; Valvatida; Asterinidae
Description: tRNA-Ala
Rfam family: tRNA
About the family: Transfer RNA (tRNA) molecules are approximately 80 nucleotides in length. Their secondary structure includes four short double-helical elements and three loops (D, anti-codon, and T loops). Further hydrogen bonds mediate the characteristic L-shaped molecular structure. tRNAs have two regions of fundamental functional importance: the anti-codon, which is responsible for specific mRNA codon recognition, and the 3' end, to which the tRNAs corresponding amino acid is attached (by aminoacyl-tRNA synthetases). tRNAs cope with the degeneracy of the genetic code in two manners: having more than one tRNA (with a specific anti-codon) for a particular amino acid; and 'wobble' base-pairing, i.e. permitting non-standard base-pairing at the 3rd anti-codon position.
Source: Rfam by way of RNAcentral
GGCUGGAUAGCUCAGUUGGUAAGAGCACCGGAAUGGCAAUCCGAAGGUCACAGGUUCAACCCCUGCUCCAGUCA